Long non-coding RNA from Homo sapiens (human), 1376 nucleotides. Ensembl annotates it as MIAT neighbor. Its record names the gene MIATNB. The record is from Ensembl. NCBI's taxonomy places the organism in Eukaryota, Metazoa, Chordata, Mammalia, Primates, Hominidae.
UUUCCUACGCUAAAAACCACUGAGUGGAGUAUUUAGUACACAGGAAGUCGGCCAGAGAAACAUUUCUCAUAUUUGAAGGCCGGAAAGAGGGACAUUUCUGACACCGGAAGUCAGUGAGAGGACUCUUUCCCACACAGGAAGUCAGCUAGAGAGCCGUCUCCCCUCUCUGGAGCCGAGAGAGGCCGGUUUCCCCCACCACUCUCAGGGUAAAGAAGGAAAUGAGAAAUUGCAAGACAGAGUAUUUCUUAGGCAAUGGCUGAGAAUGGCAACUCACCACAUGCCUUUGAAUAAGACGUGAUUAUUAUUAACCCAUAUUCUAUCAAAGAAGAAACUGAGGCUCAGAGAGGCAACUUACUUGCCAAAGGUCACUCUGCUGGUAGCCCACCUGGGAGGAAUUUUCCAGAGAUCACUGUCUGAUGACCCUGUCUUGGAAUUGGAGCCAUGCAAGUUACACUGACCACGUUUGGGUUGGGAUAUUGAGGAGGUUAUGGUUAAAAGCAUACGAUGGGAGAUCAUAUUGUACUUGCGAGUGAGACCCGGCUGGAGGAAUGUUUUAAUUCUUCGGAAAUACCAAGUGGUCUCUACAGAACACUGAAGAUUCUGCUCUCAGGGUGUUGAUUGACGUCUGGAAGGCAGAGACUCGUGGAUUAGCAAGCAUGUGACAACAUCCAGAGGUGUCCAGAAAGAAGGUGGCCUUGACCAGAAUUCCUCAGCCUUGGCUGCACAUGAGAACCAGUGAGGGAGCCCUAAAAACGCUGAUGCCCAGGCUCCACCCAGACCUAUAGGUGCAGAACCUCUAGGGGAGGGCCCAGCCAUCGCGCUUUGAAAAAUCUCCUCAGGUCUCACAUGAGUACUUCACAAUGGGGAAACUGAACUGGAACUCUACUGACAACGCAGUUGGGAGUUCAAACUUAAUAACCUUCCAGAGUUGGUAUCAAAUUCAGACGCUGACGCUCCUUGGAGAGGUUCUUUGCUGCAAGAGGAUGGAAAGGAUCACUGUGAUUUUGUUUUUCUCCUGCUGCUCUGUCUGGAAGCCAUGUGAGGAGGACAUCUGAGCAGCCCUGUGGAGAGGCCCCCAGCCAACAGCCAGCAUGAACUUGCUGGGCAUGUGAGUGCACCACCUUGAAAGUAGAGCCUCAACCCCUGGUCAAGCCAUCAGGGAGAGCUCAAGCUGGCCUGUUGGAAGAUGACAGGCCAUAUGCAACAGACGUGAAGUGUCCCAGCUGAUCCCCUUCCAGAACACCCACCUUCCAGAUGACCACAGAUGCAAGGGUGAGCCAGCCAAUAGCUGCUGAGACAUUCCCAGAAAGACAGAACAUCCAGCUGACCCAUGGACUCAUGGGCGAUCAUGGAUAAAUGGAUAUUGUUUCAAGCUA